GUCUAGAGAAGUAAAUUCUGGACAAUAUUACUGUCCAUAAAAGUGGACCAUUUUUGUCUCAAGAAACGGCCAAUAUUCCAUAGUGGAACUUUAAAUGUGCCAUGGUUUGUGUAUAAUGUAAGAUAAAUUGACGCAAUAUGCCACUAAUGUUGAAUUACCCAUAAUAUUGUGAUACAUACUACAUAUUGUAUGUUUGAGAUUACAUUUUAAAUGGGCGCCAUCUAGUGUAUACAACGAAUGCAUCUAUAGGAAAUAAUUUAUAGUAAAAUUGUAUUAUCGGGAGAACUAGGCGGAGCACGAAUGCACAUUUCUAUUUUGCACAUUGCCCUAUCAAUUCCGAUCAUAUAAAACAGCUGAACCAAAUAUCAAAUCAAUAGCAGACAAAGCGCCACUGGAACGGAGUUGGGUCAGCCUUGUUGAAUUGUUUGGGCUAAAAUAUAAUUCAAACCUAAAAUGGAUCCUUGUGAUUGCUCAAAAAUUGACUUGUUUUGUUUAUAGCUGGAAGCUGCAGUUGCGGUGGGCUCUGCAAGUGUACAAACUGCGAAUGUGCCAAGAAAAGUUGUUGUUCCUGCUGCCCGACUGGAUGCAGCAAGUGCGCCUCUGGUUGUG
Molecule: long non-coding RNA, 609 nt
Organism: Oncorhynchus tshawytscha (Chinook salmon)
Lineage: Eukaryota; Metazoa; Chordata; Actinopteri; Salmoniformes; Salmonidae
Exons: 3
Source: RefSeq, a predicted model, not a curated record